CCUACGGGUGGCAGCAGUAGGGAAUAUUGCUCAAUGGGGGAAACCCUGAAGCAGCAACGCCGCGUGGAGGAUGAAGGUUUUCGGAUUGUAAACCCCUUUUGUUAGAGAAGAUAAUGACGGUAUCUAACGAAUAAGCACCGGCUAACUCCGUGCCAGCAGCCGCGGUAAUACGGAGGGUGCAAGCGUUAUUCGGAAUCACUGGGGGGAAAGAGCGCGUAGGCGGGAUAGCAAGUCAGAUGUGAAAUCCUAUGGCUUAACCAUAGAACUGCAUUUGAAACUGUUAUUCUAGAGUAUGGGAGAGGUAGGUGGAAUUCUUGGUGUAGGGGUAAAAUCCGUAGAGAUCAAGAGGAAUACUCAUUGCGAAGGCGACCUGCUAGAACAUAACUGACGCUGAUGCGCGAAAGCGUGGGGAGCAAACAGGAUUAGAUACCCUUGUAGUC
This 440-nucleotide ribosomal RNA is filed under the name uncultured bacterium. RNAcentral's name for it is "partial 16S ribosomal RNA". It matches the Rfam family "Bacterial small subunit ribosomal RNA", at positions 338 to 795 of the family's 1533-position model. The record is from RNAcentral.